This is a ribosomal RNA of Oncorhynchus tshawytscha (Chinook salmon), 116 nucleotides long. The record is from Ensembl. Lineage: Eukaryota; Metazoa; Chordata; Actinopteri; Salmoniformes; Salmonidae.
UUUUUUUGUCACUGCCUGAGUACGCCUGAUCUCGUCUGAUCUCGGAAGCUAAGCAGGGUCGGGCCUGGUUAGUACUUGGAUGGGAGACUUCCUGGGAAUACCAGGUGCUGUAAGCU